UACGGAGGGGGCUAGCGUUGUUCGGAAUUACUGGGCGUAAAGCGCACGUAGGCGGCUUUGCAAGUCAGAGGUGAAAGCCCGGGGCUCAACCCCGGAAUUGCCUUUGAGACUGCAUCGCUAGAACGUCGGAGAGGUGAGUGGAAUUCCGAGUGUAGAGGUGAAAUUCGUAGAUAUUCGGAAGAACACCAGUGGCGAAGGCGACUCACUGGACGACUGUUGACGCUGAGGUGCGAAAGCGUGGGGAGCGAACCGG
This 253-nucleotide ribosomal RNA is filed under the name uncultured bacterium. RNAcentral describes it as "partial 16S ribosomal RNA". It matches the Rfam family "Bacterial small subunit ribosomal RNA", at positions 524 to 776 of the family's 1533-position model. The record is from RNAcentral.